UACGGAGGGAGCUAGCGUUGUUCGGAAUUACUGGGCGUAAAGCGCACGUAGGCGGUUACUCAAGUCAGAGGUGAAAGCCCGGGGCUCAACCCCGGAACAGCCUUUGAAACUAGGUGACUGGAAUCUUGGAGAGGCGAGUGGAAUUCCGAGUGUAGAGGUGAAAUUCGUAGAUAUUCGGAAGAACACCAGUGGCGAAGGCGACUCGCUGGACAAGUAUUGACGCUGAGGUGCGAAAGCGUGGGGAGCAAACAGG
This 253-nucleotide ribosomal RNA is filed under the name uncultured bacterium. RNAcentral describes it as "partial 16S ribosomal RNA". It matches the Rfam family "Bacterial small subunit ribosomal RNA", at positions 524 to 776 of the family's 1533-position model. The record is from RNAcentral.